This 554-nucleotide ribosomal RNA is filed under the name Aspergillus amstelodami. RNAcentral describes it as "eukaryotic LSU rRNA". The stretch from base 174 to 327 matches the Rfam family "5.8S ribosomal RNA". Lineage: Eukaryota; Fungi; Ascomycota; Eurotiomycetes; Eurotiales; Aspergillaceae. RNAcentral also lists the same sequence under 1 other name. The record is from RNAcentral.
UCCGUAGGUGAACCUGCGGAAGGAUCAUUACCGAGUGCGGGCCCUCUGGGUCCAACCUCCCAUCCGUGUCUAUCUGUACCCUGUUGCUUCGGCGUGGCCACGGCCCGCCGGAGACUAACAUUUGAACGCUGUCUGAAGUUUGCAGUCUGAGUUUUUAGUUAAACAAUCGUUAAAACUUUCAACAACGGAUCUCUUGGUUCCGGCAUCGAUGAAGAACGCAGCGAAAUGCGAUAAUUAAUGUGAAUUGCAGAAUUCAGUGAAUCAUCGAGUCUUUGAACGCACAUUGCGCCCCCUGGUAUUCCGGGGGGCAUGCCUGUCCGAGCGUCAUUGCUGCCCUCAAGCACGGCUUGUGUGUUGGGCUUCCGUCCCUGGCAACGGGGACGGGCCCAAAAGGCAGUGGCGGCACCAUGUCUGGUCCUCGAGCGUAUGGGGCUUUGUCACCCGCUCCCGUAGGUCCAGCUGGCAGCUAGCCUCGCAACCAAUCUUUUUAACCAGGUUGACCUCGGAUCAGGUAGGGAUACCCGCUGAACUUAAGCAUAUCAAUAAGCGGAGGA